RNAcentral lists this ribosomal RNA (1162 nucleotides) under Escherichia coli. RNAcentral's name for it is "partial 23S ribosomal RNA". It matches the Rfam family "Bacterial large subunit ribosomal RNA", at positions 580 to 1744 of the family's 2925-position model. Lineage: Bacteria; Pseudomonadati; Pseudomonadota; Gammaproteobacteria; Enterobacterales; Enterobacteriaceae. The record is from RNAcentral.
CAGAGCAAUCUGUGUGACUGCGUACCUUUUGUAUAAUGGGUCAGCGACUUAUAUUCUGUAGCAAGGUUAACCGAAUAGGGGAGCCGAAGGGAAACCGAGUCUUAACUGGGCGUUAAGUUGCAGGGUAUAGACCCGAAACCCGGUGAUCUAGCCAUGGGCAGGUUGAAGGUUGGGUAACACUAACUGGAGGACCGAACCGACUAAUGUUGAAAAAUUAGCGGAUGACUUGUGGCUGGGGGUGAAAGGCCAAUCAAACCGGGAGAUAGCUGGUUCUCCCCGAAAGCUAUUUAGGUAGCGCCUCGUGAAUUCAUCUCCGGGGGUAGAGCACUGUUUCGGCAAGGGGGUCAUCCCGACUUACCAACCCGAUGCAAACUGCGAAUACCGGAGAAUGUUAUCACGGGAGACACACGGCGGGUGCUAACGUCCGUCGUGAAGAGGGAAACAACCCAGACCGCCAGCUAAGGUCCCAAAGUCAUGGUUAAGUGGGAAACGAUGUGGGAAGGCCCAGACAGCCAGGAUGUUGGCUUAGAAGCAGCCAUCAUUUAAAGAAAGCGUAAUAGCUCACUGGUCGAGUCGGCCUGCGCGGAAGAUGUAACGGGGCUAAACCAUGCACCGAAGCUGCGGCAGCGACGCUUAUGCGUUGUUGGGUAGGGGAGCGUUCUGUAAGCCUGUGAAGGUGUGCUGUGAGGCAUGCUGGAGGUAUCAGAAGUGCGAAUGCUGACAUAAGUAACGAUAAAGCGGGUGAAAAGCCCGCUCGCCGGAAGACCAAGGGUUCCUGUCCAACGUUAAUCGGGGCAGGGUGAGUCGACCCCUAAGGCGAGGCCGAAAGGCGUAGUCGAUGGGAAACAGGUUAAUAUUCCUGUACUUGGUGUUACUGCGAAGGGGGGACGGAGAAGGCUAUGUUGGCCGGGCGACGGUUGUCCCGGUUUAAGCGUGUAGGCUGGUUUUCCAGGCAAAUCCGGAAAAUCAAGGCUGAGGCGUGAUGACGAGGCACUACGGUGCUGAAGCAACAAAUGCCCUGCUUCCAGGAAAAGCCUCUAAGCAUCAGGUAACAUCAAAUCGUACCCCAAACCGACACAGGUGGUCAGGUAGAGAAUACCAAGGCGCUUGAGAGAACUCGGGUGAAGGAACUAGGCAAAAUGGUGCCGUAACUUCGGGAGAA